RNAcentral lists this non-coding RNA (21 nucleotides) under Mus musculus (house mouse). The record is from RNAcentral. Lineage: Eukaryota; Metazoa; Chordata; Mammalia; Rodentia; Muridae.
UAGAAUAAACACAGCAGCAGG